GAUGAACGCUGGCGGCGUGCCUAAUACAUGCAAGUCGAGCGAAUGGAUUAAGAGCUUGCUCUUAUGAAGUUAGCGGCGGACGGGUGAGUAACACGUGGGUAACCUGCCCAUAAGACUGGGAUAACUCCGGGAAACCGGGGCUAAUACCGGAUACCAUUUUGAACAGCAUGGUUCGAAAUGUAAAGGCGGCUUCGGCUGUCACUUAUGGAUCGACCCGCGUCGCAGUAGCUAGUUGGUGAGGUAACGGCUCACCAAGGCAACGAUGCGUAGCCGACCUGGGAGGGUGAUAGGCCACACUGGGACUGAGACACGGCCCAGACUCCGACGGGAGGCAGCAGUAGGGAAUCUUCCGCAAUGGACGAAAGUCUGACGGGGCAACGCCGCGUGAGUGAUGAAGGCUUUCGGGUCGUAAAACUCUGUUGUUAGGGAAGAACAAGUGCUAGUUGAAUAAGCUGACACCUUGACGGUACCUAACCAGAAAGCCACGGCUAACUACGUGCCAGCCGCCGCCGUAA
RNAcentral lists this ribosomal RNA (515 nucleotides) under uncultured bacterium. Its description in RNAcentral is "partial 16S ribosomal RNA". It matches the Rfam family "Bacterial small subunit ribosomal RNA", at positions 28 to 523 of the family's 1533-position model. The record is from RNAcentral.